Molecule: transfer RNA, 72 nt
Filed under: Phytophthora infestans T30-4
Lineage: Eukaryota; Oomycota; Peronosporomycetes; Peronosporales; Peronosporaceae
Rfam family: tRNA
About the family: Transfer RNA (tRNA) molecules are approximately 80 nucleotides in length. Their secondary structure includes four short double-helical elements and three loops (D, anti-codon, and T loops).
Source: Rfam by way of RNAcentral
CCGCUUUUAGCUCAGUGGUCGAGCGUUGGCUUUAGAAGCCACAGGUCGGGGGUUCGAGCCCACCAGGGCACA